RNAcentral lists this ribosomal RNA (120 nucleotides) under uncultured bacterium. Its description in RNAcentral is "partial 16S ribosomal RNA". It matches the Rfam family "Bacterial small subunit ribosomal RNA", at positions 796 to 918 of the family's 1533-position model. The record is from RNAcentral.
CACGCCCUAAACGAUGUCAACUAGUUGUCGGGUCGUCAGACUCGGUAACGCAGCUAACGCGUGAAGUUGACCGCCUGGGGAGUACGGUCGCAAGAUUAAAACUCAAAGGAAUUGACGGGG